RNAcentral lists this ribosomal RNA (253 nucleotides) under uncultured bacterium. RNAcentral's name for it is "partial 16S ribosomal RNA". It matches the Rfam family "Bacterial small subunit ribosomal RNA", at positions 524 to 776 of the family's 1533-position model. The record is from RNAcentral.
UACGAAGGGGGCUAGCGUUGCUCGGAAUCACUGGGCGUAAAGGGUGCGUAGGCGGGCCUUUAAGUCAGGGGUGAAAUCCUGGAGCUCAACUCCAGAACUGCCUUUGAUACUGAAGAUCUUGAGUUCGGGAGAGGUGAGUGGAAUUCCCAGUGUAGAGGUGAAAUUCGUAGAUAUUGGGAAGAACACCGGUGGCGAAGGCGGCUCACUGGCUCAUUUCUGACGCUCAGGCGCGACAGCGUGGGGAUCAAACAGG